AUUGAACGCUGGCGGCAGGCCUAACACAUGCAAGUCGAGCGGAUGAAGGGAGCUUGCUCCUGGAUUCAGCGGCGGACGGGUGAGUAAUGCCUAGGAAUCUGCCUGGUAGUGGGGGAUAACGUCCGGAAACGGGCGCUAAUACCGCAUACGUCCUGAGGGAGAAAGUGGGGGAUCUUCGGACCUCACGCUAUCAGAUGAGCCUAGGUCGGAUUAGCUAGUUGGUGGGGUAAAGGCCUACCAAGGCGACGAUCCGUAACUGGUCUGAGAGGAUGAUCAGUCACACUGGAACUGAGACACGGUCCAGACUCCUACGGGAGGCAGCAGUGGGGAAUAUUGACAAAGGGCGAAAGCCUGAUCCAGCCAUGCCGCGUGUGUGAAGAAGGUCUUCGGAUUGUAAAGCACUUUAAGUUGGGAGGAAGGGCAGUAAGUUAAUACCUUGCUGUUUUGACGUUACCAACAGAAUAAGCACCGGCUAACUUCGUG
Molecule: ribosomal RNA, 483 nt
Filed under: uncultured bacterium
Lineage: Bacteria
Description: partial 16S ribosomal RNA
Rfam family: Bacterial small subunit ribosomal RNA
Source: RNAcentral